RNAcentral lists this microRNA precursor (99 nucleotides) under Marmota monax (woodchuck). The record is from RNAcentral. Lineage: Eukaryota; Metazoa; Chordata; Mammalia; Rodentia; Sciuridae.
AGUGGAAUUGCCAGGUCCUGUGGUAACUGUUUUACUAUUUAAGAAAUCUCCAAACUGUUUUCCAAAGUAGCGGUACCAUCGUACAAUCCCACCAGCAAU